UGGUGUGGGUAAUGGAAGUGGUUCAGAAACGUUAGGUUGAGAUGAUGGUGUUGAAACGUUCAGAAGAGUCAGCAUAAAACUUACCAGAAGCUCUUAAGGGUUGAACAACCCCAUAUGUAUCCUUCAAAAUCAUAGCCUCAUGGCGCUCACUUAGAGGCACCUCAUCUUUAUCUUGAAAGAUAGCGACCUUUUUCUUCUUCUGAGCUAUGGAGGAUCCUUCACCUCUGAAUUCCUUCUUCCUUUUACCAUGGACAUCUGGG
Molecule: long non-coding RNA, 260 nt
Filed under: Lathyrus oleraceus (garden pea)
Lineage: Eukaryota; Viridiplantae; Streptophyta; Magnoliopsida; Fabales; Fabaceae
Description: Pisum sativum (pea) long non-coding RNA (PSAT_LNC025316)
Source: RNAcentral